CUUGGGUUGGGCUGUCUGCAUGCACAUGCUUGAGUCCACUUUCCCAACUCCAGGAAGCUGCUGAUCACUAGUUUCAGGUGUUUUCUAUGUAGCAGGAGAUGGCCUUUCCCUGGCACUGGCUGUGACCAAUUAUUAUUUUAGAGAGACAGUUAACAACGGCCUGACCAUUACUGACCAUUACCUGAUUGUCACCUGACAUUCCUGAUGUGUGUGACAGGAGGUGGGGGGGGAGUGUGAAGUCGGAGAGAGCCCUCUUCUACCCUGCUUAUGCCUGAUGAGCUACCUACUAUAACAGAAAUCUUAGAGUGAGAGGACAUAAUUUUCUCCUUCCAAUAUCUCCUUCUGGCUGACUAAGAUAAAAUGGAUAAAUGGCAACGUGCACCAUUUCUUGAGAAGAGAAGCUGUUUCUUUCUCUUCUAUACACCGGCAUCGCCUGACCCACAGUAGGUAUGAAAUAAAUAUUUGCUGGAUGAAUAAAUAUUUGAAUAAAUUUCAGUUUGGUCUGUGAGAAAAUCAAAAUAGCAAAUAAGAGCAGAAUGUUCUGUAUUACUGGUAGCUGUGGCUAAAAACAAAAUUCCACCUUUCUUCUUCCAAAAUUCCUGAGAGCUACUGGGUUGUCACUGUCAAGGCUUAUGUUGCUAUGAAAAUAUGCUUUGCUGGCUUUAUGUUUCUGCCUAUCACCCCUGCCUCCUGUCUCUUAUGGCAUGCAGCAAAUUCAUGGCUUUGACCUUAAGCAGGGUUUAGUUGGGUUUAUAAGAGUACAAAAGCAGAGAGAAAAGGGAGAGAGAGGAGAGGAGAGAGAAGAGGGGAGAAGAGAGGAAGGAGAGGGGAGGAGAAUAGAGUGGAGGAGAGGGAAAGAGAAGGGAGGGAAUGGGAGAGGAGGAGAGGGAAUGAUGCCUGGUACACACUAAUUUUUUUAAAUGCCAACAGACACGGUACCUUUCGUUCUUCCCUCCUCC
This 959-nucleotide long non-coding RNA is filed under the name Homo sapiens (human). Its description in RNAcentral is "HSALNT0154386". Lineage: Eukaryota; Metazoa; Chordata; Mammalia; Primates; Hominidae. The record is from RNAcentral.